GGUGCUAUAGUGUAGUGGUCAUCACUCGGGAUUUUGAUCCAGAUUUACAAUGUCCAGUUUCCCGAAACCCAGGUUCGAACCCUGGUAGCACCU
This is a non-coding RNA of Moniliophthora roreri, 93 nucleotides long. The record is from Rfam. NCBI's taxonomy places the organism in Eukaryota, Fungi, Basidiomycota, Agaricomycetes, Agaricales, Marasmiaceae.